GUAGCAUAAUUAUUAGUUUUUUAAUUGAAAGCUUGUAUGAAGGGUUGGACGAGAUAAAAUCUGUCUUUAUUUAAAUUACAAUAGAAUUUAACUUUUAAGUCAAAAGGCUUAAAUGUAUAUAAAAGACGAGAAGACCCUAUAGAUCUUUAUUUAAUUAAUAUUUUGAUAAUUUAAGAUUAUUUUAGUUUAAAGUUUUAAUUAAAUUUUAUUGGGGUAAUAUAAAGAUUAAAUAAAUUCUUUUUAUUUAUUACAUUGAUUUAUGAAUAUAUGAUCCAAUAUUAUUGAUUAUAAGAUUAAGUUACCUUAGGGAUAACAGCGUAAUUUUUUUGGAGAGCUCAUAUCGAUAAAAAAGUUUGCGACCUCGAUGUUGGAUUAAAAAUUAGCUUGGGUGCAGAAGCUCAAGAUUUUGGUCUGUUCGACCAUUAAAUUUUUACAUGAUCUGAGUUCAGACCGGCGUAAGCCAGGUCGGUUUCUAUCUUUAUUUAUCUAAAAUAUUUUAGUACGAAAGGACCAAAUAUUUAAUAUAAUUAUAUUUAUUUUUUGAAUAAUAUU
RNAcentral lists this ribosomal RNA (552 nucleotides) under Cicindela hybrida. RNAcentral's name for it is "partial 16S ribosomal RNA". The stretch from base 121 to 480 matches the Rfam family "Bacterial large subunit ribosomal RNA", at positions 2075 to 2645 of the family's 2925-position model. The record is from RNAcentral. Lineage: Eukaryota; Metazoa; Arthropoda; Insecta; Coleoptera; Carabidae.